GAAGCCCCGGCACCCUUUAGGGUGCUUCUUCAGAUUUGCAAUCUGCUAUGCACUGCACUUCAAGGC
This 66-nucleotide transfer RNA is filed under the name Goggia hexapora. RNAcentral's name for it is "tRNA-Cys". The record is from RNAcentral. Lineage: Eukaryota; Metazoa; Chordata; Lepidosauria; Squamata; Gekkonidae.